GCAAGUCGAGCGAUGAAGUUUCCUUCGGGAAACGGAUUAGCGGCGGACGGGUGAGUAACACGUGGGUAACCUGCCUCAUAGAGUGGAAUAGCCUUCCGAAAGGAAGAUUAAUACCGCAUAACGUUGAAAGAUGGCAUCAUCAUUCAACCAAAGGAGCAAUCCGCUAUGAGAUGGACCCGCGGCGCAUUAGCUAGUUGGUGGGGUAACGGCCUACCAAGGCGACUAUGCGUAGCCCACCUGAGAGGGUGAUCGGCCACAUUGGGACUGAGACACGGCCCAGACUCCUACGGGAGGCAGCAGUGGGGAAUAUUGCACAAUGGGGGAAACCCUGAUGCAGCAACGCCGCGUGAGUGAUGAAGGUUUUCGGAUCGUAAAGCUCUGUCUUUGGGGAAGAUAAUGACGGUACCCAAGGAGGAAGCCACGGCUAACUACGUGCCAGCAGCCGCGGUAAUACGUAGGUGGCGAGCGUUAUCCGGAUUUACUGGGCGUAAAGGGAGCGUAGGCGGAUGAUUAAGUGGGAUGUGAAAUACCCGGGCUCAACUUGGGUGCUGCAUUCCAAACUGGUUAUCUAGAGUGCAGGAGAGGAGAGUGGAAUUCCUAGUGUAGCGGUGAAAUGCGUAGAGAUUAGGAAGAACACCAGUGGCGAAGGCGACUCUCUGGACUGUAACUGACGCUGAGGCUCGAAAGCGUGGGGAGCAAACAGGAUUAGAUACCCUGGUAGUCCACGCCGUACACGAUGAAUACUAGGUGUGGGGGUUUCAACACCUCCGUGCCGCCGCUAACGCAUUAAGUAUUCCGCCUGGGGAGUACGGUCGCAAGAUUAAAACUCAGAGGAAUUGACGGGGACCCGCACAAGUAGCGGAGCAUGUGGUUUAAUUCGAAGCAACGCGAAGAACCUUACCUACACUUGACAUCCCUUGCAUUACUCUUAAUCGAGGAAAUCUCUUCGGGGACAGGUGACAGGUGGUGCAUGGUUGUCGUCAGCUCGUGUCGUGAGAUGUUGGGUUAAGUCCCGCAACGAGCGCAACCCUUGUCGUUGUUACUACCAUUAAGUUGAGGACUCUAGCGAGACUGCCUGGUUAACCAGGAGGAAGGUGGGGAUGACGUCAAUCAUCACGCCCUUAUUGUAGGGCUACCACCUGCUACAAGGGUGGGACAGAAGAUGCAUACCGCGGGGGGGGCCAAAUUAAAAACGCUUUCUUUCGGAUGUGGGCGAACCCCCCACUGAAGCGGGGUUAAAUAAUCCCAAAAAAAA
This 1255-nucleotide ribosomal RNA is filed under the name Clostridium perfringens. RNAcentral describes it as "bacterial SSU rRNA". It matches the Rfam family "Bacterial small subunit ribosomal RNA", at positions 57 to 1353 of the family's 1533-position model. Lineage: Bacteria; Bacillati; Bacillota; Clostridia; Eubacteriales; Clostridiaceae. The record is from RNAcentral.